GCAAAGUAAGAACAAGUCUUCAAUUAAAAAUAGUGGACAUCGUUACGCGUCUCUCUUCAAUGAAUUUCUCCGAGGCAGUAACCACUCCAAUUUUGAUUCUCAAAACUAGCUUUGUUUCUGGCCUUUCAUACAUCUCAACACAGACAAGCUAGUAGGUCUAUUUUCCUCUCUCCACCAUGACCACUACGUAGGGACGCUGAUGAAGCUUCCUACCAUGCUCAAAAGUUUAAGAAUUGAUUGGCAUCUCUGACAGAUUGGACUUGUUGCGGGGAACCUUCGGUGAAGUUGUGAAAGAAUAGGGAGUCAUUCGUGCAAGCACUUCCAAAUAAAAAUCUGAACCUUGUGAGAGAUUUUUCAUUUUCAGAUCUUUGAUAUAGGCAACUUGAAAGGACUGCAUGUGAGAUGCCAUAAUUGGAAGAAUACUCAUAGGAUAAGAAAGAUGCAGCCACGCGUCUGAAAAAAUAUGAAUUGAAGUUCCAGAACCAACUCUUCAAUGGAGGCCCUUUCCAACUACUUUUUGGCCCUCCAACAUAUAUACUGUGCCAUCCCCAAGAAGAUAUGUUCCCUGCUUCUGCAUACAUAAUAUUAUCAUAUCUAUAUUAUUUAUCUCUGUAUAUCUGGGCUAGGAUAGUCUGUGAUUUUAUUGUGAUUCUCCAAAACUACUUGCCUAAUAGAGCUAGGUUUUAAGCUCUGAGAUCUUUAAACCCGAGACCCCUAUCCUUCUUUGGUUGAGUUAUCUGCUCGCCUAUAACCCUUAGGAGAACUUGCCUGCCUCCAGCUAACUAUAGAUUCCGUUGCCAUCCAUGCACCUUUUUCGUUACUUUCUCCUUGAUUUCACUAAAAGUUUUUCUAUUAGAUUUCUGGAUAAGAGAAGGAAGCCCCAAAUACUUAUUCUGAGCUCCAAUGUGAGUGAUAUUUAAUCUAUCUGCUAUAUGUGUCCGAAUCUGAGGAGGGGUGCUGUUGUUGAAAAAGAGUGACUUGUUGACUACUAACGCUUUCAUAUGAAUUGAGCAAGUUCAAAAUAUUUUCAUAAUUCUCGUCUGAGACCUUAUAAAAUAGGAUAGACUCAUCAACAAAUAAAAAGUGAUUUAUAAUAAGACAUUGUCGAUUAAUCUGAAUUCUCGGGAUCUAUCUGUUUUGUUCUGUUUUGUGUAGCAAGAAAAAAAUCUUCUGCACAGAAAAAGAAAAGAUAGAAAAAGAGAGUCACCCUAUAAAACUCAAUUAAUUAAUAAAUAAUUAACUCAUAAAUUAUAAUUUAUUCUAAAAAAUAAGAAAUCUGAUUUUUUUUAUAGUUUGAUAUGAUAGAGAAAAUUAAAACAAGAAUUUUGACACUAAUUUUAAAGAAUUCGAUCCAAAAUUAGGACAAACGGAUCGAACCGGGCGAUCCGGGCAUGUAUUGGGCCCAAGGCCCAACCCACUCCACUCACACUUAAUGAGUCAGCACACCCCCUCUCCCUCCAUUGGCAUUUCACAUUGGAAACUUGAAGAAAGGGGGAGAGCUUCCAAAACACAAACCCUCACCUUUCAAAUUUCAAUCCUUGAUAACUUUUGAUCUGAAACUCCGAUCGCCACACUAUUUGCGGCCACGCGACCACAGCGUCAAGCUUCACAAAGGCCAUAAUAUUGUUCAAGAGGUAAGCCAUGUUUUCCUUCCAGUUUUUUCAGCCCUUGAUUUUGAAAAUUUUGAGUGAAAUAUUGAGAUUUUGAGCUCUUUGAGGUUAUAUGAUCCAAUUAGCUUGAGGGGAAGGCUUAAUCUCACCCCUUUGAUCCUUGGAUAUGGUAAGAUUCUCAAUCCUAAGUGAAAUACUUGAAUUAUUGUGAUUAGUUGUUAAGUUUGUAUGUGUGGGUGUAUGUUAUGUGUAUUAGGCAAUAUAUGUAUGUAAGUGGAUUGAAGUUUGAUGGAGAUUUUGCGAGCUUGAAGUGGAUUGCAAGCUAAAAAUCUGUUUUUAGAGGUGUUGAGUCUUGAAAGUUGAGAUGAUGAUUGGUAAUUAUAAGGGUUGACUUGAAGUUGAAAUUGUGCUUGAUAUGUAUAUUUGAUGUUGUAUAUUGAAUAUUGGAAAAUUGGAAGUACUGGGUUGGAAUUUGAUGAAAAUGGAGAAUUGGUAAGAUGAUAAAUGUGUAUUGUAUAUCGUUAAAUUUGAAAUAUGAGUUGAGAGUGGCUUGAUGCUGAAUGGCUAAGUUUUGGUCGAUUUUAAAAAGGGUUGGAAUUGGUUUGUGUUGAAAAAUGGAGGUUUUGUAAAGUUUUAGGAAAAUCAUAUUUUUGGCCAACUUUGACGAAGGAUAACUUGGUGUUCAGACUUUCGAUUUAUUUCAAAUUUGUUUAGAAAGAAAACUUGUUCCAAGAUGUUUAAGCCUUUCGAAGAACGCAGGAAAAAUAUUUUAAAAUGAGAAAGUUAUGCUCGAUCAAAGUUUGUUGUACAAGCUAAAAAUUUUGGACUUAGCAACUUUUUGGAGCUGCUGCAUUGUAUGCGUACGCAUACAUUUUCAUACGUGGACAUGCGCUUCUGUUUGGUGCAUUUGCAUACGCAAAAAGGGAACUGCAUACGCGAAAUGGGACAAAAUGCACGCUCACGCAUACGCAUGCGCGACAUGGUCCAAACGCGCGCUCAUGCGUACGCGUGACCCUGUUUUUAGAAAAAAUGAGUUUUGUAUUUUAAAACCAAAUUUCAAACCUCUAAACCUCUAUUUUCAUACUUUUAACCUUUGAUCUUAGUAGUAAACCUAGUAAUGAGAUGAAACUCGAAAAGAUGAGGUAUCUUAGGGGUGAAGUAAGGUUGGAAGGUGUGUGUUAAUUUAUAUAUAUGAUGCCAUAGCUAUGAUGAAUGGUUGUGAAAUGAUUACGUAUGAUUGUGAAUGAAUGUGAUUAUUGAGACUUUGUUCAUGAUGAGAAUGUAUGAGUUUCUCUCUGUUGUAAGGUGCGUCAGGCACUAUAUGCCAUUAGUGUGAUGAGCACUAUAUCCCAAAAGCGUGGCAUGGUGGGUGUUAUAUCCUAAGAGUGUGGGAGCACCUUACCCCAAGAGCGAGCGUGGCAUGGCGGGUGCUAUAUCUCAAGAGUGUGGGAGCACUUUGUCCCAGGAAAUGCGAUGGGCACUAUAUCCCGAGAGUGUGACAAACACUAUAUCCCAAGAGUGUGGAGACAUAGAGAGACGAUGUUUGGGUUAACUGCCGGGUGUGUUGGGUUCUCGCAAGUAACCAACACAUGAGCUCACGGCCAGUAGAAAAGACAUGCAUCAUACGCAUCUGUUUGUUUUGUUUGAGUUUGCAUUAUUUGGGAUUGCCUUUGUGAAAUUACUAUACUUACUUGCUAUAUGAUUUUCUUGUUGUACCUGCCUUCUACCUGUGUUUGCUUUGCCUAUUUUAUUUAUCUGUGUGGUUCUAUCGGAAUUUCGGAGGAUUGGAGGAAAAGCGAUGAUUUUAAGGGUUAAGUUAGAAUUGAAAUAAGUUAGAACUCUUUAGAUACCUUGCCUUAUUUUAUGAUCUUAAAUAUUGGUUUUAAGUUUAAAUUUAUUGUCGGCAGUUCUAGGAUUGCCUUCGAUUUUUUCAGAACAUUAUAUGUUAGAUAUGUGGGCACUGUUACCAUGCUGAGAAGCUCCAGUUCUCACCUAUGUGGAUUUUGUGAUUUUCAGAUGCAGGUCAGGCGGUACCUCGCUGAGGCAUGCUGGAAGCUUCUGAUUAGCGAAGAUCCUUAUCUUUUGGGGCUCUAAUUGGUUAUAUGUAUUUAUUUAGAUACUUAUUAUCUCCACUUCUAUAUAUAUGAUGUAUUAACUUCCUCUUAGAGGUUAUUUUGGAGAAACAGGUUCUGUAACUUUAUAUUUUGAGUUUUCUAUAUGUAUGUAUGUAUAUAUAUACUUAUGUGCUCGAGCCGGUUUAUCUUCGCGAGCCAAGUCUUGAGUUUUGUUAUCUGUAUUUUGGAACUCUUAGAGUACAAUCUUGUUAGCUUGA
Molecule: long non-coding RNA, 3942 nt
Organism: Arachis stenosperma
Lineage: Eukaryota; Viridiplantae; Streptophyta; Magnoliopsida; Fabales; Fabaceae
Exons: 3
Source: RefSeq, a predicted model, not a curated record